GAUGAACGCUGACAGAAUGCUUAACACAUGCAAGUCUUUGGCGAAGCUGUGCUUGCACAGCCUAGCCAAGGCGGGCGGGUGAGUAACGCGUAAGGAACUUGCCCUGCAGUCAGGGAUAACAGACGGAAACGACUGAUAAGACCUGGUAAAGUCAGGCGGACUCAUGUCCAGCCUGAUGAAAAGAGAUGCUGCAGGAGAGCCUUGCGUCCUAUUAGCUUGUUGGUGGGGUAACGGCCCACCAAGGCGAUGAUAGGUAGCCGGCCUGAGAGGGUGGACGGCCACAAGGGGACUGAGAUACGGCCCUUACUCCUACGGGAGGCAGCAGUGGGGAAUAUUGGACAAUGGGGGCAACCCUGAUCCAGCAAUUCUGUGUGCACGAUGAAGGUUUUCGGAUUGUAAAGUGCUUUCAGCAGGGAAGAAAAAAAUGACGGUACCUGCAGAAGAAGCGACGGCUAAAUACGUG
Molecule: ribosomal RNA, 463 nt
Filed under: uncultured bacterium
Lineage: Bacteria
Description: partial 16S ribosomal RNA
Rfam family: Bacterial small subunit ribosomal RNA
Source: RNAcentral